This 484-nucleotide ribosomal RNA is filed under the name uncultured bacterium. RNAcentral's name for it is "partial 16S ribosomal RNA". It matches the Rfam family "Bacterial small subunit ribosomal RNA", at positions 28 to 507 of the family's 1533-position model. The record is from RNAcentral.
AUUGAACGCUGGCGGCAUGCUUUACACAUGCAAGUCGAACGGCAGCGCGGGCUUCGGCCUGGCGGCGAGUGGCGAACGGGUGAGUAAUGCAUCGGAACGUGCCCAGUAGUGGGGGAUAGCCCGGCGAAAGCCGGAUUAAUACCGCAUACGACCUGAGGGUGAAAGCGGGGGACCGAAAGGCCUCGCGCUAUUGGAGCGGCCGAUGUCGGGUUAGCUAGUUGGUGGGGUAAAGGCUUACCAAGGCGACGAUCCGUAGCUGGUCUGAGAGGACGACCAGCCACACUGGGAUUGAGACACGGCCCAGACUCCUACGGGAGGCAGCAGUGGGGAAUUUUGGACAAUGGGGGCAACCCUGAUCCAGCCAUGCCGCGUGCGGGAAGAAGGCCUUCGGGUUGUAAACCGCUUUUGUUCGGGAAGAAAUCCUCUGGGCUAAUACCCCGGGGGGAUGACGGUACCGGAAGAAUAAGCACCGGCUAACUACGUG